UACGUAGGGUGCGAGCGUUGUCCGGAAUUAUUGGGCGUAAAGGGCUCGUAGGCGGUUUGUCGCGUCUGCUGUGAAAACUCGGGGCUUAACUCCGGGCCUGCAGUGGGUACGGGCAGACUAGAGUGCGGUAGGGGAGACUGGAAUUCCUGGUGUAGCGGUGAAAUGCGCAGAUAUCAGGAGGAACACCGGUGGCGAAGGCGGGUCUCUGGGCAGUAACUGACGCUGAGGAGCGAAAGCGUGGGGAGCGAACAGG
Molecule: ribosomal RNA, 253 nt
Filed under: uncultured bacterium
Lineage: Bacteria
Description: partial 16S ribosomal RNA
Rfam family: Bacterial small subunit ribosomal RNA
Source: RNAcentral